CUUGGUCAUUUAGAGGAAGUAAAAGUCGUAACAAGGUCUCCGUUGGUGAACCAGCGGAGGGAUCAUUACUGAGUUCUUACAGAACCCUACCCUUGUGUGCUAAGCUACCACCCAGCUUUUACACAAGAGUCCCGGCUUAACCGCCGGGCUAUCAGUGUAAAAAACAAAACCUCUGUAUUAUUAUUAUUUCUCUGAGACUUUUUACAAAAGAGUCAAAACUUUCAACAACGGAUCUCUUGGUUCUGGCAUCGAUGAAGAACGCAGCGAAAUGCGAUACGUAAUGUGAAUUGCAGAAUUCAGUGAAUCAUCGAAUCUUUGAACGCACAUUGCGCCCGCUAGUAUUCUGGCGGGCAUGCCUGUCCGAGCGUCAUUUCAACCCAUCAAGCCUAGCGCUUGUGUUGGAGCCCUGCGGCCGCCGCAGCCUCCCAAAAGUAGUGGCGGGCUCGCUAUCACGCUGAGUGCAGUAGUAUUCUUCUCACUCCUGUUGUGUAGCGGGUAACCAGCCGUAAAAUAACUCCCAAAAUGUUGACCUCGGAUCAGGUAGGAAUACCCGCUGAACUUAAGCAUAUCAAUAAGCGGAGGAAAAGAAACCAACAGGGAUUGCCCUAGUAACGGCGAGUGAAGCGGCAACAGCUCAAAUUUGAAAUCUGGCAACAGCCCGAAUUGUAAUUUGCAGAGGAAGCUUCUGGUGAUGCACUGUCUAAGUCCCCUGGAACGGGGCGCCACAGCGGGUGAGAGCCCCAUGUGAUGGCUGCAGACCCAGUGUGAAGCUCCUUCGACGAGUCGAGUUGUUUGGGAAU
Molecule: small RNA, 800 nt
Filed under: uncultured Podospora
Lineage: Eukaryota; Fungi; Ascomycota; Sordariomycetes; Sordariales; Lasiosphaeriaceae
Description: eukaryotic LSU rRNA
Rfam family: Eukaryotic large subunit ribosomal RNA (bases 527-800)
Source: RNAcentral